UAGGGGGCAAGCGUUAUCCGGAUUUACUGGGUGUAAAGGGAGCGUAGACGGCGGAGCAAGUCUGAAGUGAAAGCCCCGGGCUUAACCCGGGAACUGCUUUGGAAACUGUACUGCUAGAGUGCUGGAGAGGUAAGCGGAAUUCCUAGUGUAGCGGUGAAAUGCGUAGAUAUUAGGAGGAACACAAGUGGCGAAGGCGGCUUACUGGACAGUCACUGACGUUGAGGCUCGAAAGCGUGGGGAGCAAA
RNAcentral lists this ribosomal RNA (245 nucleotides) under uncultured bacterium. RNAcentral describes it as "partial 16S ribosomal RNA". It matches the Rfam family "Bacterial small subunit ribosomal RNA", at positions 528 to 772 of the family's 1533-position model. The record is from RNAcentral.